This 73-nucleotide transfer RNA is filed under the name Camelus bactrianus (Bactrian camel). It matches the Rfam family "tRNA". Rfam says of the family: Transfer RNA (tRNA) molecules are approximately 80 nucleotides in length. Their secondary structure includes four short double-helical elements and three loops (D, anti-codon, and T loops). Lineage: Eukaryota; Metazoa; Chordata; Mammalia; Artiodactyla; Camelidae. The record is from Rfam by way of RNAcentral. RNAcentral also lists the same sequence under 2 other names.
GAGGGUAUAGCUCAAGUGGUAGAGUGCAUGCUUAGCAUGCGUGAGGUCGUGGGUUUAAUCCCCAGUACUUCCU